GAAUGAUGGCAUUGGAUACAGUUUGAAGGACUUCAGUACGUUGGGAAUUUGCUGCGACCUCCAACAUGCCGGCCAAGCCAGCCCCAAUCAAGAAGGCGGCUAAGAAAGAACCCGCCAAGAAGGAGGAGGAAAAUGCUCCAGAGCCGGCUCCGGCUCCCGAGCCCGCCGCGGAGCCCGCUCCGGCCGAGGAGGCUCCCGCUCCCGCAGAGGGAGAGGCCGCCCCAGCCCCCGCCGAGGGAGAGGCCCCCGCUGAGGGCGAAGCUGCUGCCCCCGCAGAGGGUGAAGCUGCAGCAGCACCUGCACCAGAGCCAGAGCCCAAACCACCCACACCUCCUCCGCCCAAAGUGCCCACAAGUGCUCCUGUAGAACUGUUUGUGGAGGACAAAAAUGAUACUUCAGUCUCCAUCAUUUGGAGCCAGCCUGAGAACAUCGGGGACACCGGUCUUGAUGGAUAUGUCAUCGAAAUCUGCAAAGACGGAACUGAUGACUGGAAAGCAGUCAAUGAGGAACUGCAGAAGGCCUGUCGCUACGUCAUCAAGAACCAGACGACCGGUGACCGCCUGAAGAUCCGCGUGGUGGCUGUGAAUGAAGGAGGCCGCAGCCCCCCUGUUGCCCUCGCAGAGCCCGUGGUCGUUAAGGAGGUUGCUGACCGCCCCAAGGUCCGCUUGCCUCGCUUCCUCAGGCAGAGAUAUGUUGCUCGUGUUGGAGAGAAGAUCAACCUGACCAUACCGUUCACAGGCAAACCCAAACCUGUUGUGUCAUGGACAAAGAACGGCGGGCCUCUGGACACAAAGAGGGUGAACAUCCGCAGCACUGAAAGGGACAGCAUCCUGUUCAUCCGUGCGGCUGAAAGGGAUGACUCCGGAGUGUAUGAGAUGUCUGUGAAAGUAGAGGACUUUGAGGACAAAGCCCCACUUAUUCUUCAGAUUGUUGAGCUGCCUGGACCUCCUGCCAGUGUGAAGAUUGUGGAUACUUGGGGUUUCAACGUUGCUUUGGAAUGGACUGCCCCCAAAGACAAUGGAAACACUGAGAUCACAGGAUACACAGUGCAGAAGGCUGACAAAAAAACUGGAGACUGGUUCACUGUUUUGGAACAUUACCACAGACUUAAUGCUACAAUCUCUGACCUUAUAAUGGGAAACACCUACAAGUUCCGAGUGUUUUCAGAAAACAAGUGUGGAAUAAGCGAGUCUGCUACUGUUGCUAAAGAGGAGGCCAAGAUCCUGAAGACGGGAAUUGAAUACAAGCCCCCAGAGUACAAGGAGCAUGACUUUGCUGAGCCUCCCAAGUUCACCACGGCUUUGAAUGACAGGAGCACCACUGUUGGCUACUCCACCAAGCUGCUGUGCUCCGUCAGGGGAUUCCCUAAGCCCAAGAUUGAAUGGAUGAAGAACCAGAUGAUUAUUGGAGAUGAUCCCAAGUUCAGGCAGAUCUGCGUCCAAGGUAUCUGUUCCCUGGAGAUCCGAAAGCCCGGUAACUUUGACGGCGGCGUGUACUCCUGCAGAGCCAAGAAUGACCUUGGAGAAACAGUCGUGAGCUGCAAGUUGGAGAUCAAACAACCAGUGAUUCCAGAGGGGGACAAGAAAUAAACGAAAAGCUUCAGUUUUACAGUCCCAAAUUAGGAGCAGCGACCUUUGCAGCGUAAGAACAGUUUCCUGGAAGAACAUGUAUAUAUGGCUGGUGCCCACACUGCCAACAAGUUUUAUCCUGUGAACUCUCAAGCAUCUGUGAAGAUAAACGAUUUAAGUCAUCGCUUCAUGCCUGGAACUACAUAAUUAAGUCCAUAUCCAUGUCCAAAGUUUGAUUUUUUUUUUCUUUUUUUGUUUUGUUUUUUUUGCUCUCAUUUUGAUUAAGUUUUCCCAAAAACACUUUUGAUGUCCUCUGGAUUAUGACUCUACCUGCCUACUUCACCAUCAUGUCAAGUCUUACUCUCAUGAAUGUACUGUUCCUCAAAGGAGAGCUACAUGUGUUUAUAUCAAUAAACUAUUUAAUUUCUGGUC
This is a non-coding RNA of Oryzias latipes (Japanese medaka), 2000 nucleotides long. Lineage: Eukaryota; Metazoa; Chordata; Actinopteri; Beloniformes; Adrianichthyidae. The record is from RefSeq and is a predicted model, not a curated record.